This is a non-coding RNA of Aedes aegypti (yellow fever mosquito), 72 nucleotides long. The record is from Rfam. Lineage: Eukaryota; Metazoa; Arthropoda; Insecta; Diptera; Culicidae.
GGCUCGGUAGCUUCGUUGGGAAAGCACUCGUCUAGCAUACAAGAGUCGUUGGUUCGAAUCCCAUCUGAGCAC